UCCCGAUUAAUUCAACGGUUAGAAUGUUGUGCUUAUAGGAUAUCCAGCGACGCAAUAAUCCGAGUUCGAUUCUCGGAUCGGGAA
RNAcentral lists this transfer RNA (84 nucleotides) under Sphaeroforma arctica JP610. RNAcentral's name for it is "tRNA-Ile". It matches the Rfam family "tRNA". Rfam says of the family: Transfer RNA (tRNA) molecules are approximately 80 nucleotides in length. Their secondary structure includes four short double-helical elements and three loops (D, anti-codon, and T loops). Lineage: Eukaryota; Ichthyosporea; Ichthyophonida. The record is from RNAcentral.